UCAUUUAGUUGGCGAGUAAUUAACACUUCUAGCUGCUUCUUUUUUCUUCUCCCGUUGUCAUGGUGAAUCGCGUUAUUCGCGUUCGAUUGAUGACGGCUACUUUCUAUGCUCGCGCUUAUCUCGGGGGUAACUGCUCUGAAACCGACAACUCAAGAGUUUCAUAGAGUUGAGGUGGAACUCUGCCCGCAUCUGGUUGAGGUUCGGCGGAGCUCAUUGGGGAGUGAGGCGCAAGUUGAGGACAGGAGGUGUGCGACACGACGGAGCCAAUACCGAGACGGCUACGGAGUGGAACGGAGAGGUUCCUUCUCCUGGAUUUGACUGGCAUGAUUCCAGUCCUGUAAUUGAAAAUGGAGAACAAUCUUAUCCUGGACUUGGGACCCCUCGGCUGAUGUUAUUGGGGUUUAAGGCGGCAUUUUGUCGUAGAGUUUUGAAAACAAAGUGAUUUAUUCCUUUUGUGUUCCCGCUGGGAAUAAAUGUAUUUAAUCAAACCUAAA
Long non-coding RNA from Poecilia reticulata (guppy), 494 nucleotides. RefSeq lists it as uncharacterized. NCBI's taxonomy places the organism in Eukaryota, Metazoa, Chordata, Actinopteri, Cyprinodontiformes, Poeciliidae. The record is from RefSeq and is a predicted model, not a curated record.